This 468-nucleotide ribosomal RNA is filed under the name uncultured bacterium. RNAcentral's name for it is "partial 16S ribosomal RNA". It matches the Rfam family "Bacterial small subunit ribosomal RNA", at positions 28 to 507 of the family's 1533-position model. The record is from RNAcentral.
GACGAACGCUGGCGGCGUGCUUAACACAUGCAAGUCGAACGGAAAGGCCCGGCUUUUGUGGGGUGCUCGAGUGGCGAACGGGGGAGUAACACGUGAGUAACCUGCCCUUGACUUUGGGAUAACUUCAGGAAACUGGGGCUAAUACCGGAUAGGAGCUCCUGCUGCAUGGUGGGGGUUGGAAAGUUUCGGCGGUUGGGGAUGGACUCGUGGCUUAUCAGCUUGUUGGUGGGGUAGUGGCUUACCAAGGCUUUGACGGGUAGCCGGCCUGAGAGGGUGACCGGCCACAUUGGGCCUGGGAUACGGCCCGGACUCCUACGGGAGGCAGCAGUGGGGGAUAUUGCGCGAUGGGCGGAAGCCUGAUGCAGCAACGCCGCGUGCGGGAUGACGGCCUUCGGGUUGUAAACCGCUUUCGCCUGUGACGAAGCGUGAGUGACGGUAAUGGGUAAAGAAGCACCGGCUAACUACGUG